RNAcentral lists this ribosomal RNA (491 nucleotides) under uncultured bacterium. RNAcentral's name for it is "partial 16S ribosomal RNA". It matches the Rfam family "Bacterial small subunit ribosomal RNA", at positions 29 to 507 of the family's 1533-position model. The record is from RNAcentral.
GUGAACGCUGGCGGUAGGCCUAACACAUGCAAGUCGAACGGCAGCACCGUAAGCGCUUGCUCUUACGGGUGGCGAGUGGCGGACGGGUGAGGAAUACAUCGGAAUCUACUUUUUCGUGGGGGAUAACGUAGGGAAACUUACGCUAAUACCGCAUACGACCUACGGGUGAAAGCAGGGGAUCUUCGGACCUUGCGCGAUUGAAUGAGCCGAUGUCGGAUUAGCUAGUUGGCGGGGUAAAGGCCCACCAAGGCGACGAUCCGUAGCUGGUCUGAGAGGAUGAUCAGCCACACUGGAACUGAGACACGGUCCAGACUCCUACGGGAGGCAGCAGUGGGGAAUAUUGGACAAUGGGCGCAAGCCUGAUCCAGCCAUACCGCGUGGGUGAAGAAGGCCUUCGGGUUGUAAAGCCCUUUUGUUGGGAAAGAAAAGCAGCAGGUUAAUACCCCGCUGUUCUGACGGUACCCAAAGAAUAAGCACCGGCUAACUUCGUG